This 66-nucleotide transfer RNA is filed under the name Sibynophis collaris (collared black-headed snake). RNAcentral's name for it is "tRNA-Arg". The record is from RNAcentral. RNAcentral also lists the same sequence under 1 other name. Lineage: Eukaryota; Metazoa; Chordata; Lepidosauria; Squamata; Sibynophiidae.
UCUGCGGUAGUCUCUAAUAGACAUCUGAUUUCGACUCAGAAGAACUUACUUAUCUAAGCCACAGCA